AGUGGCGAACGGGUGAGUAAUAUAUCGGAACGUAUCCAAUAAUGGGGGAUAACGAGUCGAAAGAUUCGCUAAUACCGCAUACGCCCUGAGGGGGAAGGCUGGGGAUCUUCGGACCUAGCGUUAAUGGAGCGGCCGAUAUCUGAUUAGCUAGUUGGUGAGGUAAAGGCUCACCAAGGCGACGAUCAGUAGCUGGUCUGAGAGGACGACCAGCCACACUGGAACUGAGACACGGUCCAGACUCCUACGGGAGGCAGCAGUGGGGAAUUUUGGACAAUGGGGGCAACCCUGAUCCAGCCAUUCCGCGUGAGUGAAGAAGGCCUUCGGGUUGUAAAGCUCUUUCGCAAGGGAAGAAAACUUACAUUCUAAUAAAGUGUGAGGCUGACGGUACCUUGAUAAGAAGCACCGGCUAACUACGUGCCAGCAGCCGCGGUAAUACGUAGGGUGCGAGCGUUAAUCGGAAUUACUGGGCGUAAAGCGUGCGCAGGCGGUUUUGUAAGUCAGAUGUGAAAUCCCCGGGCUUAACCUGGGAACUGCGUUUGAAACUACAAGGCUAGAAUAUGUCAGAGGGGGGUAGAAUUCCACGUGUAGCAGUGAAAUGCGUAGAGAUGUGGAGGAAUACCAAUGGCGAAGGCAGCCCCCUGGGAUAAUAUUGACGCUCAUGCACGAAAGCGUGGGGAGCAAACAGGAUUAGAUACCCUGG
This 700-nucleotide ribosomal RNA is filed under the name uncultured bacterium. RNAcentral describes it as "bacterial SSU rRNA". It matches the Rfam family "Bacterial small subunit ribosomal RNA", at positions 94 to 790 of the family's 1533-position model. The record is from RNAcentral.